This is a long non-coding RNA of Topomyia yanbarensis, 645 nucleotides long. RefSeq lists it as uncharacterized. The record is from RefSeq and is a predicted model, not a curated record. Lineage: Eukaryota; Metazoa; Arthropoda; Insecta; Diptera; Culicidae. The transcript is spliced from 3 exons.
UAAAUAAUUAAUAUUAUUUGCAGCACACCCGAACAAAGCAAAUCAGCUCAACUAAUCUUGUCUCAACAUCCUGGAUCUGGCAAUCCGCCAAUCAACAUUAAAUCGAUGCAACCGCAGCAGUACCAACAACUCCAAAUACAGCAAUAGCCAACAACCCCUCAAAAAAGGACCACAUAGCAAUUACUGCUCAAACGAACAACAGGAGUUUACGAAUGAUGGACACAUCGGAAAACAUUUCAUCGGCACAUUAAAACUUGUCUGCCACUAUUUUUACCAGCGGUUGCCUUCUUGAUUUAGAGAAAUCGGAGUCAAGCACAAAAGUCAUAUUCCAGCCUUGGUUCCUACCAGGACUUUUUUAUUCAGUUGGUGCGGCAAGAUCGAACACCAACAACAUAAUAACAUGGUAAUCACCCAGCAAGAGAACGCAGUGAUAAUGGGUCAACAGAAAACACAACAUCAAUAUGCUCGGAAUGGACUUUCUCUUUCGAACAAACAUAAUGGCGCGUCAUGUUCAAUCGGCUAACCGUUUGGAAUAAGCGCUCAUCAUCGGUUUCAUGGCAGGGAAGUGAGCAGGCAAAAGAAGGCAUCGUUUUUUCCGCAAGGUCGCUCUGGUCAAAAUUUCAGCGAAUUGCAAGGAAUAAACCA